GCGGCGGUCGCCAUUGCUCUGCGCGAGGGACUCGGGGGUGAUGUGUUCGGCUACCCAGAAGGGGUUGCGGGUUCUUCGGUCGAAUGCGCUUGUGAGCGGGAGGCUGGUAACUAUGUCUGCCACUGGGCCGGGGAAGCCAUAUUGGAACAGGCCGGCGGGGUCGACUGGGGAUUUUGGAGAAAGGGACGGUUGGAGGACGGGGGAUUUGGGAUGAGGGGUUGGAAUUGAUGUGGUUGGGGUUGCUGUAGCCGGUGGUGGAAGACGUGAACCUAGCUGCUGUUGGCGGUUCUUAGAGGAGUACAUAAACGCAGUGAGAGCAGCGCCAGUCGCCGCGCUGGCAGCUGCUAUCAUAGCAACGGUAGCUUUGGACAUGAUUGCGAUUUGUACCCUUUUUUUUAUCCCAACUGCCCUGGUGAGGAUAUCAAAUGAGCGGCA
This 435-nucleotide small RNA is filed under the name Histoplasma capsulatum var. duboisii H88. RNAcentral describes it as "Histoplasma capsulatum H88 hypothetical RNA". Lineage: Eukaryota; Fungi; Ascomycota; Eurotiomycetes; Onygenales; Ajellomycetaceae. The record is from RNAcentral.